GGCGAAGGCAGCCACCUGGGGCAACACUGACGCUCAUGUACGAAAGCGUGGGGAGCAAACGGGAUUAGAUACCCCGGUAGUCCACGCCGUAAACGAUGUCUACUAGAAGCUCGGAACCUCGGUUCUGUUUUUCAAAGCUAACGCAUUAAGUAGACCGCCUGGGGAGUACGGCCGCAAGGUUAAAACUCAAAUGAAUUGACGGGGGCCCGCACAAGCGGUGGAGCAUGUGGUGUAAUUCGAUGCAACGCGAAGCACCUUACCUACACUUGACAUACAGAGAACUUACCAGAGAUGGUUUGGUGCCUUCGGGAACUCUGAUACAGGUGCUGCAUGGCUGUCGUCAGCUCGUGUUGUGAGAUGUUGGGUUAAGUCCCGCAACGACCGCAACCCCGAUCCUU
RNAcentral lists this ribosomal RNA (398 nucleotides) under Pseudoalteromonas sp. S185. RNAcentral describes it as "bacterial SSU rRNA". It matches the Rfam family "Bacterial small subunit ribosomal RNA", at positions 714 to 1112 of the family's 1533-position model. Lineage: Bacteria; Pseudomonadati; Pseudomonadota; Gammaproteobacteria; Alteromonadales; Pseudoalteromonadaceae. The record is from RNAcentral.